This 319-nucleotide ribosomal RNA is filed under the name uncultured eukaryote. Its description in RNAcentral is "partial 18S ribosomal RNA". It matches the Rfam family "Eukaryotic small subunit ribosomal RNA", at positions 1470 to 1796 of the family's 1831-position model. The record is from RNAcentral.
CCCUUAGAUGUUCUGGGCAGCACGCGCGCUACAAUGGUCUUCGCAAACGGAUGCAUUCUCGAAGGAGUAUGCCAAUCUUGGAAUCUAUGCCUUGGUCGGGACAGUUGCUUGCAAUUUUUCGACUCGAACCAGGAAUUCCUUGUAAUCGUGAUUCAUCACAUCACGAUGAAUACGUCCCUGCCCUUUGUACACACCGCCCGUCGCUCCUACCGAUCGAAGAGUUAGGUGAAUUGUUUUGAUCGAUAAGAUUUGACUAUGGUCAACUCUCGUUGUGAAAUUCUGUGAAUCUGACUGUUUAGAGGAAGGAAAAGUCGUAACA